UACGUAGGGGGCUAGCGUUGUCCGGAAUCAUUGGGCGUAAAGCGCGUGUAGGCGGCCCGGUAAGUCCGCUGUGAAAGUCGGGGGCUCAACCCUCGGAUGCCGGUCGAUACGGGCAUCACUGGAGUUCGGCAGGGGAGACUGGAAUUCCUGGUGUAGCGGUGAAAUGCGCAGAUAUCAGGAGGAACACCGGUGGCGAAGGCGGGUCUCUGGGCCGAUACUGACGCUGAGGAGCGAAAGCGUGGGGAGCAAACAGG
Molecule: ribosomal RNA, 254 nt
Filed under: uncultured bacterium
Lineage: Bacteria
Description: partial 16S ribosomal RNA
Rfam family: Bacterial small subunit ribosomal RNA
Source: RNAcentral